RNAcentral lists this ribosomal RNA (246 nucleotides) under uncultured bacterium. RNAcentral describes it as "partial 16S ribosomal RNA". It matches the Rfam family "Bacterial small subunit ribosomal RNA", at positions 15 to 252 of the family's 1533-position model. The record is from RNAcentral.
GAUCCUGGCUCAGGAUGAACGCUAGCUACAGGCUUAACACAUGCAAGUCGAGGGGCAGCAUUUUAGUUUGCUUGCAAACUGAAGAUGGCGACCGGCGCACGGGUGAGUAACACGUAUCCAACCUGCCGAUAACUCCGGAAUAGCCUUUCGAAAGAAAGAUUAAUACCGGAUAGCAUACGAAUAUCGCAUGAUAUUUUUAUUAAAGAAUUUCGGUUAUCGAUGGGGAUGCGUUCCAUUAGUUGUUGG